CUUACUAGGAAAAAUGAUGUGAGGAUGGUUAUGAAGAUAAAAGGAGGUGGUGAUGAUCUGAAGCAGAGCUUGCUGCACAUAACAAUGGGAAAGUGGAAGGUGCAGUGCACAGACAUCCUACAGCGAGAAGGCAAGGCCAAUGCUUUCACCAUCUUUUGUAUUAGUAUAAUGAGUGCUGAGGCUGAGCUGGCUUUUAGACA
Long non-coding RNA from Eptesicus fuscus (big brown bat), 200 nucleotides. RefSeq lists it as uncharacterized. Lineage: Eukaryota; Metazoa; Chordata; Mammalia; Chiroptera; Vespertilionidae. The record is from RefSeq and is a predicted model, not a curated record. The transcript has 3 exons.